RNAcentral lists this ribosomal RNA (253 nucleotides) under uncultured bacterium. RNAcentral describes it as "partial 16S ribosomal RNA". It matches the Rfam family "Bacterial small subunit ribosomal RNA", at positions 524 to 776 of the family's 1533-position model. The record is from RNAcentral.
UACAGAGGUGGCAAGCGUUGUUCGGAAUUACUGGGCGUAAAGGGCGCGUAGGCGGUUCGUUAAGUCCUGUGUGAAAUCCCCCGGCUCAACUGGGGAACUGCACAGGAAACUAGCGGGCUUGAGUUCGGGAGAGGGAAGCGGAAUUCCGGGUGUAGCGGUGAAAUGCGUAGAUAUCCGGAGGAACACCGGUGGCGAAGGCGGCUUCCUGGACAAUUGCUGACGCUCAGGCACGAAAGCGUGGGGAGCAAAAGGG